This 720-nucleotide ribosomal RNA is filed under the name Triticum aestivum (bread wheat). Its description in RNAcentral is "partial small subunit ribosomal RNA". The record is from RNAcentral. Lineage: Eukaryota; Viridiplantae; Streptophyta; Magnoliopsida; Poales; Poaceae.
AUGGCGGCCGAGAGACUCGCCGAUGACCUGCUCAUCGAGAUACUGUCGCGCAUUCCUGUAAGGUCAGUGUGCCGCUUGAAGUGCGUCUUCAAGGACUGGCUCAGUCUCAUCGACCACCCCGAUCACCGAAGGAAGCUCCCUCAAACCCUAGCCGGCUUCUUCUACACUCGAAGCGACAAUCCGGAGUUCCCUCUGGAAACAGAAGUCCGCUUCACCAGUGUCUUGGGGAAAAACUGCCCUCCGAUAGACACCUUAUUCGCUUUCCUUCCCAGCCAUCGGCGCAUCGAUCUAUUGGACUGCUGCAAUGGCCUCCUCCUCUCUCGCUGGUACGCCGUUUCCGCUCCUGGUGAUGAGUUUUGUUACAUCGUGUGCCAUCCUGCCAUGAAGGAGUGGGUUUCGUUGCCCGAUCGCAGCCAUGAAAACAAGGUGGGCAUAGAGCGUCUGGGUUUCGAUCUGACCGUGUCUUCCCACUUCUAUGUGUUUGUGUUACUAGAGGAUGUCAACUUUAACGACGACCUUGCUGAAGUGGAAGUGUAUUCACCGGAAACCAGGAGAUGGAUUUACAAGGAAAUUGACUACCCAGCAGGAAGCACAAUUCUUUUGUCCCUUCCCUUUUUUGGGCAGUCUACCGCUGUUCAAAAGGUCACCCUUUUUUAUAGGUGUGGUGGACACGGUGGGGGAAACAUCGAUGAACUUCCAUAUCCCCGCUCAUUUGAAUAA